This 170-nucleotide small nucleolar RNA is filed under the name Sorex araneus (European shrew). RNAcentral describes it as "Small nucleolar RNA U3 (ENSSARG00000019435.1)". It matches the Rfam family "Small nucleolar RNA U3", at positions 1 to 144 of the family's 219-position model. From Rfam's summary of the family: Small nucleolar RNAs (snoRNAs) are involved in the processing and modification of rRNA in the nucleolus. There are two main classes of snoRNAs: the box C/D class, and the box H/ACA class. U3 snoRNA is a member of the box C/D class. Lineage: Eukaryota; Metazoa; Chordata; Mammalia; Eulipotyphla; Soricidae. The record is from RNAcentral.
AAGACUAUACUUUCAGGGAUCAUUUCUCUAGUUCAUUACUAGAGAAGUUUCUCUGACCCUGUAGAGUACCUGAAACCACAGGAAGGAGCCAGAGCAUCCUCUCCUGAGCAUGAAGCUGGUUCUUGGUAUGCUGGGAAUAAAACUCAGGUAUGUGUGUGCAAAACAAGUGU